GAGACACCCUUAUGGGGCAGGACUUGCUUCAGUGGGGCUUUGGUGCUCACUGAGUCUGCCCCGUGAGUGUGUCUCU
Molecule: non-coding RNA, 76 nt
Organism: Myotis lucifugus (little brown bat)
Lineage: Eukaryota; Metazoa; Chordata; Mammalia; Chiroptera; Vespertilionidae
Source: Rfam